Molecule: ribosomal RNA, 245 nt
Filed under: uncultured bacterium
Lineage: Bacteria
Description: partial 16S ribosomal RNA
Rfam family: Bacterial small subunit ribosomal RNA
Source: RNAcentral
UACGGAGGGUGCAAACGUUGCUCGGAAUUAUUGGGCGUAAAGCGCGCGCAGGCGGUCCGUUAUGUCGGGUGUGAAAGCCCUCGGCUUAACCGAGGAAGUGCAUUCGAAACUGGCGGACUUGAGUACGGGAGAGGGUAGCGGAAUUCCCGGUGUAGAGGUGAAAUUCGUAGAUAUCGGGAGGAACACCAGUGGCGAAGGCGGCUACCUGGACCGAUACUGACGCUGAGGCGCGAAAGCGUGGGGAG